Molecule: ribosomal RNA, 468 nt
Filed under: uncultured bacterium
Lineage: Bacteria
Description: partial 16S ribosomal RNA
Rfam family: Bacterial small subunit ribosomal RNA
Source: RNAcentral
GACGAACGCUGGCGGCGUGCUUAACACAUGCAAGUCGAACGGAAAGGCCCUGCUUUUGUGUGGUGCUCGAGUGGCGAACGGGUGAGUAACACGUGAGUAACCUGCCCUUGACUUUGGGAUAACUUCAGGAAACUGGGGCUAAUACCGGAUAGGAGCUCCUGCUGCAUGGUGGGGGUUGGAAAGUUUCGGCGGUUGGGGAUGGACUCGCGGCUUAUCAGCUUGUUGGUGGGGUAGUGGCUUACCAAGGCUUUGACGGGUAGCCGGCCUGAGAGGGUGACCGGCCACAUUGGGACUGAGAUACGGCCCAGACUCCUACGGGGGGCAGCAGUGGGGAAUAUUGCACAAUGGGCGGAAGCCUGAUGCAGCAACGCCGCGUGCGGGAUGAAGGCCUUCGGGUUGUAAACCGCUUUCGCCUGUGACGAAGCGUGAGUGACGGUAAUGGGUAAAGAAGCACCGGCUAACUACGUG